This 226-nucleotide long non-coding RNA is filed under the name Gallus gallus (chicken). Lineage: Eukaryota; Metazoa; Chordata; Aves; Galliformes; Phasianidae. The record is from RNAcentral.
CGAUGUAGUAGUUGGUUCCUCCCACAACAAUCGGAAUCUUGUCUCGAGCAAAGAUAUCUUCAAUCAGAGCCACAGCUUUGUCUCUGAAAUCCACCACUGUGUAGUUGGAGACGAGAGGAUCCACAAAGCUGAUCAUGUGGUGUCUGCACAGGCGCUGCUCCUGGGGAGAAACCUUGUUUGUGAUGAUGUCCAAGCCCUUGUACACCUGCAUGGAGUCGGCGCUGAC